RNA transcript from Mus musculus (house mouse), 676 nucleotides. It is a transcript of the gene named predicted gene 6083, with no coding region annotated. The record is from RefSeq and is marked validated. Lineage: Eukaryota; Metazoa; Chordata; Mammalia; Rodentia; Muridae. The transcript has a single exon.
GCUGAGCAUAAUGGUACAUUGCCUUUAAUCCCAGCACUCGGGAUGCAAAGGCAAGCAGAUAUCGACCAGGACAGCUAGGGCUACAUAGUGAGACCCUGCCUCAAAAACAGAAAUGAAAUCUUUUCUAAAAUAAAGAUAAUCUUGGGGCCAUGGUGGAUAAGCUUGAUCUCGUCUUCCCUGAAGUCUGGUUCCUUGGCAGGAAUUAUGAUGGUAACCCUCAUGACCCGUAAAGACAUCCCCCCGUGGGUGAAAGUUCCUGAAGACCUGAAAGAUCCAGAAGUAUUCCAGGUCCAGUCGCUGGUACUGAAAUCUCUGUUUGGCCCACAGGGAUCUCGAAUGUCUCACAUUGAGCAGGUGAGCCAGGCCAUGUUUGAGCUGAAGAACCUGGAAUCUCCCGAAGAACUUAUCGAGGUCUUCCUUUACGGCUCUCAAAACAACAAGGUUCUGGCUAAAUGGAUACUUCAGUCCAUGGCUGAGAGGUACCGCCUGCGCCAGCAAAAAGGAGUGCUGAAGCUGGAGGAAUCCAUGAAGACCCUGGAGCUAGGCCAGUGUAUCGAGUGAAGCCAGUUUCCAGUCAUUGUGUCUCCCACCUGGACGCGGGUUAAGCUGUGGCCAGUGUUUGGUUCUGGCGGGAUUUUUAGCUUUGUUACAUCCUAGCAAGAUAUUCCUGGAUCCC